RNAcentral lists this long non-coding RNA (207 nucleotides) under Elaeis guineensis (African oil palm). Its description in RNAcentral is "long non-coding RNA (EGUI_LNC061169)". The record is from RNAcentral. Lineage: Eukaryota; Viridiplantae; Streptophyta; Magnoliopsida; Arecales; Arecaceae.
CCUUAAGGUCUAUAGAGAUAGAUGCAAUUGGAUGCUUGUAUUUUCAUAAAUAAAGUAUAGAGAGUAGAUGCUAAAAGGAUUUAGCAUAAAAAUCUUGGAGAAGGGUCUGCUAUCCUCUCGGACAUACAAAUAUGCCAUGUAAUGUACUUGAACUAAUAUAGUUAAUACUGUGAAUGUCAUGAGUAGAUAUCAAUUGUAUUCAGGCUG